Bos taurus (domestic cattle) is the source of this 73-nucleotide non-coding RNA. Lineage: Eukaryota; Metazoa; Chordata; Mammalia; Artiodactyla; Bovidae. The record is from Rfam.
UCCUUGGCGGUCCAGUGGCUAAGACUCUGCACUCCCAAUGCAGUAGGCCUGGGUUCUAUCCCUGGUCAGGGAA